GUUGUCGGAAUUACUGGGCGUAAAGGGUGCGUGAGGUGGUUUUUAAGUCAAAUGUGAAAGGCUACGGCUCAACCGUAGUAAUGCUUUUGAAACUAGGAAUCUAGAGUGCAGGAGAGGAGAGUAGAAUUCCUAGUGUAGCUCUGAAAUGCGUAGAGAUUAGGAGGAAUACCAGUAGCGAAGGCGGCUCUCUGGACUGUCACUGGCACUGAGGCACGAAAGCGUGGGGAGCAAACAGGAUUAGAUACCCUGGUAGUCCACGCCGUAAACGAUGAGUACUAGGUGUCGGGGUUACCAGGCCCUCGGUGCCGCAGCUAACGCAUUAAGUACUCCGCCUGGGAAGUACGCUCGCAAGAGUGUUACUCAAAGGAAUUGACGGGGACCCGCACAAGUAGCGGAGCAUGUGGUUUAAUUUUAAGCAACGCGAAGAACCUUACCUAAGCUUGACAUCCCACUGACCUCUCCUAAUCGGAGAUUCCCUUCGGGGCAGGGUGACAGGUGGUGCAUGGUUGUCGUCAGCUCGUGUCGUGAGAUGUUGGGUUAAGUCCCGCAACGAGCGCAACCCUUGCCUUUAGUUGCCAGCAUUAAGUUGGGCACUCUAGAGGGACUGCCGAGGAUAACUCGGAGGAAGGUGGGGAUGACGUCAAAUCAUCAUGCCCCUUAUGCUUAGGGCUACACACGUGCUACAAUGGGUGGUACAGAGGGUUGCCAAGCCGGGAGGUGGAAGCUAAUCCUUAAAGCCAUUCUCAGUUCGGAUUGUAGGCUGAAACUCGCCUACAUGAAGCUGGAGUUACUAGUAAUCGCAGAUCAGAAUGCUGCAAAGAAUGCGUUCCCGGGUCUUAACUUAA
This 845-nucleotide ribosomal RNA is filed under the name Paraclostridium sp. RNAcentral's name for it is "bacterial SSU rRNA". It matches the Rfam family "Bacterial small subunit ribosomal RNA", at positions 541 to 1390 of the family's 1533-position model. The record is from RNAcentral. Lineage: Bacteria; Bacillati; Bacillota; Clostridia; Peptostreptococcales; Peptostreptococcaceae.